This 72-nucleotide transfer RNA is filed under the name Phrynosoma platyrhinos (Desert horned lizard). RNAcentral's name for it is "tRNA-OTHER". It matches the Rfam family "tRNA". Rfam says of the family: Transfer RNA (tRNA) molecules are approximately 80 nucleotides in length. Their secondary structure includes four short double-helical elements and three loops (D, anti-codon, and T loops). The record is from RNAcentral. Lineage: Eukaryota; Metazoa; Chordata; Lepidosauria; Squamata; Phrynosomatidae.
GACAGUGUGGUGUAGUGGUUUGAACGUUGGACUAUGACUCUGGAAACCGGGGUUUGAAUCCCAGCGCAGUCA